RNAcentral lists this non-coding RNA (24 nucleotides) under Arabidopsis thaliana (thale cress). Lineage: Eukaryota; Viridiplantae; Streptophyta; Magnoliopsida; Brassicales; Brassicaceae. The record is from RNAcentral.
GUCGCAAACGCCUCGUAUUUUGCG